Molecule: ribosomal RNA, 403 nt
Filed under: Fusobacteriota bacterium
Lineage: Bacteria; Fusobacteriati; Fusobacteriota
Description: Fusobacteria bacterium partial 16S ribosomal RNA
Rfam family: Bacterial small subunit ribosomal RNA
Source: RNAcentral
UGGGGAAUAUUGCACAAUGGAGGGAACUCUGAUGCAGCGACGCCGCGUGAACGAAGAAGGCUUUCGAGUCGUAAAGUUCUUUUAUAUGGGAAGAUAAUGACGGUACCAUAAGAAAAAGCCCCGGCUAACUACGUGCCAGCAGCCGCGGUAAUACGUAGGGGGCUAGCGUUGUCCGGAAUCACUGGGCGUAAAGGGUUCGCAGGCGGAAAUGCAAGUCAGGUGUAAAAGGCAGUAGCUUAACUACUGUAAGCAUUUGAAAAUGCAUAUCUUGAGAAGAGUAGAGGUAAGUGGAAUUUUUAGUACAGCGGUGAAAUGCGUAGAUAGUAAAAAGAAUACCGGUGACGAGGGCGACUUACUGAGCUCAUUCUGACGCUGAGGAACGAAAGAGGGGGUAGCAAACAGG